Molecule: ribosomal RNA, 465 nt
Filed under: uncultured bacterium
Lineage: Bacteria
Description: partial 16S ribosomal RNA
Rfam family: Bacterial small subunit ribosomal RNA
Source: RNAcentral
ACGCACGCUGGCGGCGCGCCUAACACAUGCAAGUCGAACGAGCGAGAGGAGGUUUACUUUCUCAAGCGAGUGGCGAACGGGUGAGUAACGCGUGAGGAACCUGCCUCAAAGAGGGGGACAACAGUUGGAAACGACUGCUAAUACCGCAUAAGCCCACGACCCGGCAUCGGGUAGAGGGAAAAGGAGCAAUCCGCUUUGAGAUGGCCUCGCGUCCGAUUAGCUAGUUGGUGAGGUAAUGGCCCACCAAGGCGACGAUCGGUAGCCGGACUGAGAGGUUGAACGGCCACAUUGGGACUGAGACACGGCCCAGACUCCUACGGGAGGCAGCAGUGGGGAAUAUUGCACAAUGGGGGAAACCCUGAUGCAGCGACGCCGCGUGGAGGAAGAAGGUCUUCGGAUUGUAAACUCCUGUUGUUGAGGAAGAUAAUGACGGUACUCAACAAGGAAGUGACGGCUAACUACGUG